CCUUCUCUCUUCCUAAAGUUUGGGGGACAGAGCUAUUUCAGCGGAUAAAAGCAGGCUUAUUAGGGGGCACCCGGAUUUGAACCAGGGACCUCUUGAUCUGCAAUCAAAUGCUCUACCCUGAGCUAUACCCCUUUCCUGGGGUGUGUGCUCCCCACCCUCACCAGCACACUGUUGUUCCUGCUCAUCCCUAGUCUUUCCUGGGCACCUGGCAGAUGGACCUCACUGCAAACUGACCCUUCUCUGGCCAUGAGCUCAGUUCUCCUGUGCUCAUGGGGCCCGGACACUCCUCUGCGCUGACCUGAAGCUCCCCUCUCUCAGCACCCACUUGCGGCCUCACACCGUGCCCUCUAGAAGCACGGAUGGACUUUGGGUCUCCACAGCCAUCUCCCCCUCUGCGGUGUUUCCCUCAUCCGUGGCCAAGUCCAGGGCUUUGGCAGAGUCUGCAGAGACUUGGUGGACACCAGGGCAGGUAUUUGGCUACAAAACCUGCAGCCUCCCCACGAGGCCCAAAUGCAGCUCCAGCUUUCCACAGGAGGUCCCAAACCAGCAGGUUGGCCUGGCUGAUGAGCUGACCCCUCUGGGGCCCUAGAGACAGGCCUCUCCUUGCCAAGCCCUGCUCUGCAGCAGGGCAGACCACCCACCACCGAAGCACAGGCUCUGGCAAUGUCACUGACUGAUCCUUCUUAGCAGCUAAAACAUUGUAUGGCUGCCACCCAGGGGGCCAUGGAGGACCGUGGCAAAGGUGUGUUAGAAACAGGACUCAUUAUUCUUGUAACACGGCUAAGUUCUAGGAGGUAUAAAGAAGAAGGGGGUAGUGGGAAGAAAGAAAGUAUUCCUUCUUUGCAGUCAUCUCAAAUUCCAGGCUGAAGGCACUGCUUAUAAAGCCAUGGCUUGUAAUUGGUACUGAGACUCCCUCCAUCCUGCGCUGUAUCCGUUCUGACCCCUUCAGGACCCCGCCUCCCACACGACCUCCUCCUGGGCUCCACCAGACAGAUCUAGGCUUCAGCUCGCAUCUGCUGCUGUCCUUUCUCCCUCUGGUCCUCAGCUUUGAUGGGAUCCUCCAGGGGAAGCUAUUAGCUGUGAUUGCGGUGGUUCAACAGGGCGAGGUAUAGGAUGUCGUCAUUCCUGGGAUAUGCUGAUGUUUCCUCAAAUAUUAGACCUCCAGAAGUUUCACAGAGGCAAUAGACACCAAUAAUCUGGAAGAUACGUGGGUAUUUGUCUUUCCCUAGUAAAGAGUUUCCAGGUAAACGGCUGAAGGGCACUUUGGGGAAAUCUAGGAGUAAGUUCACAUCCCACGGUUGGAUAUUUUGGAAGAAUCCUUAACUCAAGUUUAUUCAGAUUUCCCUUUCAAGGGAUGCCAGGCCUCUGAACUGAUUCAGAUCUGGGAACCGAAUGAGAGGUCAGGAAUCUCCUUGUGCUACAAGUCAAGAGGACGGGGGCGGGCUUCCCAUCGUCAGCCCCAAGGACCUCAGGACCAGUCACGCACAGCCACGCUCUGUGUGGCAUGGACCAGACAGUAACCUCUAACGUGCAUCUGGAGGUGAAGAGUCACACUCCUUGAACUCUAACACCCUAGGACCCUCCCCACUGAAAUCAGAGAAUCCCUCCCCACUGUAAGAUCUCCAGCAAGUAUCCCUGUCUAUAGAGAACAGCUACUAAAAUGUAUUUCAAGGACAGAGAUGCUCCACACACCCAUGCAUCUUCUAAUAAGACUUUAGUGAAGGGAAUCAUUGUUUGAAUGGGCAAGUCACACACAAUAAAUAAGUAAUUCUUCUAAUCUUAGAGCAUGGGAUAUCUUUCCAUUUCUUUGAAUCAUCUUCAAUUUCCUUUGUCAAUGUUUUAUAGCAUAUGUCUUUCACCUCCUCACUCAGAUUUAUUCCUAGGUGUUUUUUAAAAUGCGAUCUUUAAUGGGAAUUUUUUCUCUUUCUGAUAUUUAAUUGUUUGCAUAAAGAGAUGAAAUAAUUUCUGUAUGUUAAUCUUGUAUCCUGCUACUUUGCUGAAUUUAUUAUCAGUUCUAGUAGUCUUUGUGUAGAGUCUUUAGGGUUUUCCAUAUAGAGUAUCAUGUCAUCUGCAUAUAAUAAUAAUUUUACUUCUUCCCAUAAUCUGUAUUUUGAUUAAGGAUUUCACAGUAAGUUUUAACAGGCUUUAUUCAGACUACUUGGUAUAUGUUAAUAAAAUGGAAUGAUUUCUAAUCUGCUAAAAAAUGAUAAGGAAGUCAGUGGAAAUAUUACAAUUCUAAAUCUAAAUGCACCCAAUAACAUAGUAUCAAAACAUAUAAAACAAAAUGGACAGAAAUAGAAAGGAGAAAUAAACAAAGCCCCAAUCAUAGGACUGAGGAGACUUUACCUUUCUCAAUAACUUACGGGACAGGUAAACAAUAUGGCAGUGGGGUGUGGAGGGCCCAUAACAGAGCUGGCAACCAUGGCCUAAUUGAUACACACAUACUAUUUUCACAAAGAUCAGGAUGCACGUGAGAAGGGACGGUGUCGUGAUAAGUAAAGGGGACGCAAAUGGACCCUGAGGUGGCCUGCAGGAUUCUCAGGGGACCUUCCUGCAGGGGAUUGGAUUCCUCCAACUCGCAUCUCCAGUGUCUCCUGCAUUGUAGGCAGAUUCCUUGCUGCU
RNAcentral lists this transfer RNA (2622 nucleotides) under Capra hircus (goat). RNAcentral describes it as "lncRNA (ENSCHIG00010012015.1)". The record is from RNAcentral. Lineage: Eukaryota; Metazoa; Chordata; Mammalia; Artiodactyla; Bovidae.